UUAACCAUAAAAUCAAGGUACUGCAUCUUAUUUGCAAUGAAUUGCUAUAAUUUUGUAGAGACUCCACAAAUAAAAUACUAAAUUACCCAAACAGUUGGCAAACAGAGACAACACUCUGUAGAUCUUUAUUUAUAUAUAAAUGCCAAAAGAUACAGUAGAAGGAAAUAUAAAAGAAAGCAAUAAAGAUGAUAAUAUCAUGUCAAACCUCCCCAGGAAAAGAUAGUAGUCCUUCCUAGACCUAGCAGCCUCUACAGACCAAAUGAAGACAAAAAGUUAACCUAGCCCCCAAUCCCGAUAAGGCCUUAUUUAUAGCUCUUUUCUCAUUCUUCCC
This 331-nucleotide long non-coding RNA is filed under the name Cucumis sativus (cucumber). RNAcentral describes it as "long non-coding RNA (CSAT_LNC002991)". The record is from RNAcentral. Lineage: Eukaryota; Viridiplantae; Streptophyta; Magnoliopsida; Cucurbitales; Cucurbitaceae.